RNAcentral lists this long non-coding RNA (5845 nucleotides) under Homo sapiens (human). RNAcentral's name for it is "HSALNT0088222". The record is from RNAcentral. Lineage: Eukaryota; Metazoa; Chordata; Mammalia; Primates; Hominidae.
UUUUCUCCUUUCCUUUGGCUUAUCUUUCCUUGCACUGGAAUGCUAGGAAAGGAAGAACUUUGAUACUAGCUUCGAGGUAACCAAUAUGCUCAGCUUGACUGAUCUAGGAAAAAUGAGACUUUUAUGUGGUCCAGUCCUUCUCACCAAGAGGCUAGACUAAGAUUUGAGGCAAAAGCCUUAUAGUAAUAGCACACAUUUCCUUUGCCUUCUCCUCUAUGCAGGUACUUUAGGAACUUCACUAAGAAGGGGAGAAAUUUUGACAGAAUAAGAUUAAACUGUUUGAAGCUUAGGUCCUGUUUCUUUUUUAAUCUGAAGAGCAGAGAAAUUAUAAGAUAGUCACAAAGUCUGAAAACAUAAACAAAUGUAGCUAACAAGUAGUUUAUUGCUAUUACAUUAUUUUAGAUGACAUGAUCAAUAACAUGUUUUCAGACUUUAUAGCCACACCCUGUCCUUAUAAUAAGGCCUUCUGAUGUUCUCACUUAUAAGUGGGAGCUAAACACUGCAUACUUGUGGAUAUAACGAUGGCAAUAAUAACCACUAGGAACUAUUAGAGGGGGGAAGGAGGGAGGGGUAAUAGGGUUGAAAUCUAACCAUUGCGCACUAUGCUCACAACCUGGGUGAUGGUAUCAAUCAAACCCAAAACCUCAGCAUCACACAAUAUACCCAUGUAACAAAUGUGCACACGUACCCUCUGAAUUUAAAUUAAAAGUGGAAAUUAUAAUUUUUUAAAAUGCCUUCUGCAUAAUCGGCUUCUUUAAGACCCAUUAGGUCAGAGGCAUCAAAUGCAUAGGUUACUAUUUGCUAUGGUCCAAAUGUUUGUGUGUAUCCUAAACUCAUAUGUUUAAAUAUUAACCCCCAAUGUGAUAAUUUUAAGUGACAGGACCUUUGUAAGGUGACUGGUUCAUGACAGCAGAGUCCUCAUGAAUGGAAUUAGUGCCCUUAAAAAAGAAGCCUGAAGGAGGUAGCCCCUUCUGUCAUAGGAGGAGACAAAAAGAAGAUGCCGCCUGUGAACAAGAAUCUAACCGAAUCUGUUAGCACCUUGAUCUUGGACUUUCCUGCCUCCAGAACUGUAAGAAAUAAAUUUCCAUUGUUUAUAAGACACUCAACUUAUGGUAUUUUGUUAUAACAGCCAAAACAGAGUAAGACAUUGCAGCUUGAGCCAACUAAGACACUAUUUAACACCCCUUUGACAAACGUUUCACUUGUCCAAUCUUUGCUUCACAUCCCUGCACAUGUUCUAAACAAUGACAUUAAAUAAAAAUGCUACUGAGGUACAAGCUUUAAAUUCUGAAAUAACAUUGAACAUAGUAAAUGAUUUUAUUGCUAUUAGGUUAUCUUGAAACCCUAAAAUGUAACAACUACAAGAUUUUGCUGGAGAUAGGAUUGCCAAAUAAAACAUAGGACACUUGGGUAAUUUUGAAUUUCAGAUAAGCAAAUACUUUUUUAGUGUAAGUAUGUGCCAGGUAAUACAUUUUUAAAUAAUACCAUUGGUCACUGUAGUAAGGGCAAGAAAAUAUGGUGAAUCAUAUCCUGGCUUUUAAAGGCAUCCACUCAGAAAUGACACCCAUCAAUUACACUGACAUUUCAUUGCCAAAACAAGUCAAAUGGCCAUGGCCAACCUCAAAAAAGUAGAUAAUUGUGAUCCUAACUGGAAGGAAAGAAACUGGAAUAUAUAGGUAGAGAGCCCUAAUGGCAACCACACACACACAACAUUUUAAUUCACAUUUUAUAAGAAUAAUUACAAAUUAAAAGAUGAGCAUCAAUCAAACACAUUAGAAUGGUUGCUUAUGGGAGUAAGGAGGAAGGAAAUGAAAGUGGAAAUUAGGCUAAAAGUGAAGGAAUAAACAAACAAGAAAUAAGAGAAGGCAUUAUUACUGUCAGUGUACAGGUAGGUAUACUGGGAAUCAAGUUUUUAAUGUGUCAUCAUGACCCCAACCAAUACUUAAACAAGAGCUCAAACUUAAGUAUUCUGACUCCACAUCCCAUUCUCUGUCCCCUAAAUUUCCAGGUCUCAGGGUUACACGCUAUGAUGGAUAAAUAUAAUUGUUUUACAUUGAUAAUAGCUUCCUAUCCACAUGAUAAUUUGAAUAGGAUGUGUCGAGACCCCACAUACCUAAGAUAAAGCUUAUCUUAUUUCUUUUUGAUAAGCAGCAUUAAUAACAUUGUGGAAAAAGCAAGAAGUUAGGAGUCAAAUGAACCUGCAUUCAAAUCCCAGCCUUGUCAAGUAACAGUCUUAUGACUUUUGACAUGCGAUGUUAAUCCCUGAAUAAUUCAUCUUCAUCACUUCACAAAGAACUCUAUCCUUGAACAGCCUGCAGUAUGACUAUAUUGCCAGCAGAAGGGAAACAAGUCAAAGAGCAAAGCAGAAAUGUUCCUAGGAAAGAUUGCUACUUUUCUAUCAAAAAUGUGCAAUGGCAGAGGUCUCAUGAAAUGAAAAAUACAAAUGGUCUAAAAAUAAGUAAACACUAUCUAUCAUGCUAAGCCUUUGUGUAUCAUCCUGCUCAGAGCAAGUAAAAUGUAAAAUCAAUGCUAUUGUUGGAAUAGGGAAAAAUCUCUUGCAGGUGUUGAUGAAAACAGAAAGUCCUCUCUGUCUUUCCACUUACCCACCUUAAGUCUCUAAAGUGUCACCUUGAUGAAAGCUAAAGGGAAAAACAAGAUACAAAAAUAACUCAAAAAUUGCCACCCUCCACCUGCAUCAGUCAUUUGGGAAGAAAAGAAAGUGGGAGACUGAAAAAAAAAAACAGAUUAAAUAGCACAAGAUAAACUGAACCCCAGAAAAAUGGGAAUGUGGAAAUAGAGGUAUGCUUUGAAUUAAAACAAAAGGGAGACUCUGCCCAGAUGAAACCAAAAGGUCAUCAGUUUAGAGUAGGAUUUUUGGUUUCAUGAUAUGUGGCCUAAAAUAAUGAUUAUAGUAAAAGCCAUAUUCAGAAAAAUUGUUUAUAUGAAUUUCUUCUGAUGGCAGUAGGAUUAUACUGUGACACUAGACUGAUUCUGCAACUUAUUCAGUAAACAUGGAUUAAGCUGUGACACCAAAAGAAAUCAAAGGGGCAUAUGCCAGGCCCUGUGCUAGGCACUAGAAAUACAAAGGUGAGUAAGAGAAAGACACCACCCUGAAGAGCCAGCCAUUGGGAAAGGAGGAAUUCUGAAGUCCGGUAAGCUGAUUAUAUAAUAUUUCAAAAGAAUUAUCUAAAGCAGUGGCUCCUCAACUUUAAUGUCCAUAAGAAUCAUUUGUGGAUCCUGUUAAAAGGGGAUCCUGUUAUUCAGAAGAUGGUGACAAGAUCCCCAAUGGUGUUGAUGUUACGUUGUUGGGCUACAUGUUGGGAAGCAAGCCCUAACUCACAAUUGAUUUCAGCUUUUUCUCCAGUGAGCUCUUUUAGCACAUACCCUAAUGGCAUAGGAAUCCAGGAGGGCAUUUAUUUGACUGUGCUGUGUGUGCUACCCGGGAAGUAAGAGUGGAAGUCUCUGUGGCCUGACUCUGUACACCAAGUCAAGGGAGGCUGCUCUCCACUGCUUCUGAAGCCUUAGGAAAUCUACUAAAUCUGCUGCAGCAGCAAAGCAGUUUAGUGAUGAAAAGGAGCCUCUUGAUUGGAAAUCUUGCUAAGGGCUAGAGUAGAUUUUAAAGUAGAUUAUAGAAUUUCCUUACCUGGGAGUCUAAGAAAAAAAAAAGUGCAUAGACUUUUGUCUGCCCUAAAGACGAACAUGGUGACUCGGCUUUUUAAAAACUUACCCUACUCUGAAAGUCUAAGAGAAAGAAAGUUUAUGAAAGUGAAUUUCAGAAUUUGUUCAGUACAUUCCUAUUACAAACAUAAAAAGAGUUGGCCUUUGGUCAAAUUGAGUGUAAAGAUAGUUGGCAUAUUUAAUCAAGAUCCUUCCUCUCUAGGUUGACGCCACAGGAGAAAAAAUAAUCAAAGAUUCUGGUAUGUUGGCAAAGGUAGCAGGAUAAUAACUAGAUAUGAAAAUCAACUUUCUUUAAAAAAAAGUGCUUAUUUAAAUGUUUAUUUGAAGCUUAAAUGACAUAAAAAAAACAGUCAAAGGAAAUCCUUGAGCUUUAAGAAUUAUAGCUUAUAAACCAAAUAUAAUGCAAAUAUAUUCAUGUCUGCUAUGGACCCGACGCUCUCCUACCUGCUGUAAGAGAGCUUAGUCACUUUCCCAUUACCUCCUGUUGUUCUUUGUAUCAAACUUUUACACUUUAACAGCUCUUUCUUCUCAGCCUAAAACAAGCUUAACCUAGCUCUAUCUUAACAAAAUAAAAAUUUCUACCCUGUCCUCAAAUCCCCAUACUGCUUACGUCUCCCCUUUUUCAGUCCUUUCUUAGAAAGUUCAUCCACCUAGAUGUAUUAAUUUUCUCACUUCCUAUUUUUGGUUUUUAAUGCCCCUUUUUUUUCAAGCAGUAGAACACUCUUUUUCAAAUUAAAUCUUUUUUGAAACAUCAACACACACAUACACACAAAGAACAACUUCACUGGUUGAGAGACGGGAUGGAGACCAGAGAACCCUCCUCUCAGUCUUUCAUUUACUCCUGCCUGCCCCGUCAGCCCCUCAGCAACCUCUGAACAAGACCCGAGGCUCUGCCCCACCAACUGCUUCAUCCAUGGAUACCUGCCUUUCCUUCUCUCUAAACCAAGGAAAUGAUCAAAGUACCUAGGAUCUCCUAAAGUCAAUAGGCCCUUUCUGGUCCAUGUCUUGCUUGAUUCUCCAAAGUAUUCAAUACUACAGCCAAAUGUGGAAUUCUUUCUAAUUCCCCUCUAUCUGGUUCUCUCUAGUCAGGGCCUUUGCACAUUCUGUUUUCUCUGUUCUAAUCCCACAUUGACUUUCCAUCUCACCAAGAUUAAAAGCCUAAUUUAUUUUGAUUACGUUUAAUCCCCUACUUAAUCCACAAAAAAGCCCCCUCCUCUCUGCCUUUGUUUUCAUCGGCUCUCUCAAUAUCUCUAGCCAUGCCAGUGGCCUCACCCCUCCUUGACCUCUUCAAGACUCUCCUUCUUGUCUUAUUGGUAUGGCUUGUUUCAUUAGAUCCUUCAGGUAUUUGCUUAAAUGGCACCUUCCUAGGUGCUUCCAUCCUCAUUUCCUGCCUCACUUAUCUUCUUAACACUUGCCAUCAUCUAACAUAUACUCUACUGUACUUGCCUAUUCUUUAUUCUCUAUCUCUUUCCCUAGAAUAUAAGCUUCAUGAAAGCAGGAAUUGAUCUUUGUUUAUUGAGUGGUUUGAGAGUAUGUGCUCAAAGAAAUGCUUGAGAAACUGAAUUAACUGUAUUUGUUAAAUAAAUAAAUGAAUUGAUAAUUAAUGAAUGAAUUGCUGUCUCCUUGCAUGUCUGCUUGAAAAAACCCCUGUAUUAAUACCUCCAGUCCCAUCAGAUCAAAACAACCUCCUUCUUGAAGUUUCCAAUUCCUGAAUCAGGAAGCAUGAAGUUCCCCCUGUUUAUUUUGCCUCUACCAAAGCUGGUAACUCUCAAAAAGGCUUGUUGCUGUGUGACCUUCAUUACUUUGGUGAAUUGGUCUUAGGCUAGGGUCCGCCCUCAGUAUUACCAGUUCAGAAACUGGAUUGGUCAUCACAACAAGGUGAGUUCAUCUCUCAGACAUGGUCUUGAGAUGCUCUUGAGAUCAAUCUUUAAACAUGAACACCAAUUAGAGUAUCAACUCAGCCAGUUUUGUCCAGGACAGUCUUGAUUUUAGCCCUGAAAGUCCAGUGUCUGGAGAAAACCCUCAGUCCCAGGCAAGCCAGCAUGGUUGGUAGCCUUAACACAAAUUUACCUACUGACAAUGAUGAAUAGUUUACACAGAAAUAAGAAUAAUCUAAUUUUUUAGGCAGCACAAUCUUUUCCUACAGGCACACCAUAGGACAUGCCAG